RNAcentral lists this ribosomal RNA (464 nucleotides) under Vreelandella stevensii. RNAcentral's name for it is "partial 16S ribosomal RNA". It matches the Rfam family "Bacterial small subunit ribosomal RNA", at positions 338 to 795 of the family's 1533-position model. The record is from RNAcentral. Lineage: Bacteria; Pseudomonadati; Pseudomonadota; Gammaproteobacteria; Oceanospirillales; Halomonadaceae.
CCUACGGGGGGCAGCAGUGGGGAAUAUUGGACAAUGGGCGAAAGCCUGAUCCAGCCAUGCCGCGUGUGUGAAGAAGGCCUUCGGGUUGUAAAGCACUUUCAGUGGGGAAGAAAGCCUUGGGGCUAAUACCCUCGAGGAAGGACAUCACCCACAGAAGAAGCACCGGCUAACUCCGUGCCAGCAGCCGCGGUAAUACGGAGGGUGCGAGCGUUAAUCGGAAUUACUGGGCGUAAAGCGCGCGUAGGCGGUCUGAUAAGCCGGUUGUGAAAGCCCCGGGCUCAACCUGGGAACGGCAUCCGGAACUGUCAGGCUAGAGUGCAGGAGAGGAAGGUAGAAUUCCCGGUGUAGCGGUGAAAUGCGUAGAGAUCGGGAGGAAUACCAGUGGCGAAGGCGGCCUUCUGGACUGACACUGACGCUGAGGUGCGAAAGCGUGGGUAGCAAACAGGAUAGAUACCCUAGUAGUC